Molecule: long non-coding RNA, 4345 nt
Organism: Anguilla rostrata (American eel)
Lineage: Eukaryota; Metazoa; Chordata; Actinopteri; Anguilliformes; Anguillidae
Exons: 2
Source: RefSeq, a predicted model, not a curated record
UUACUCCUCCUCUAGAUCCAGAUCGAAACGCGGAGCACUGUAGGGGACUGAGGGAUUUCCAUUGGGAUUUAGGGAAGCUGCCUUGAAGAAGGCAAGCUUGGGCCUGGCCUGGCUGACCCUGGUCUGAUUUGAGUGCUGUGGAUUUAGUGAAGUAAUUUUUCAUUGUAGCACCUGGUUACAAAAAAGAAAAAAGUAAAAAUAAUGACAGCAAUCCCCCCCCCCCCCCUCAGUCCUGCCAUAUCUGCUGCACUGUGGUCUUUUGAAUUUUUUCGUAAUUAAAAUGCAGCAAUAUACCAGAACUGGGGAAUUGGCCAACGCCCAUUUUUUUCCUAAACCACUUGAGUCAAGAGUGGACCCUUUCAAUGAAAGAUUCUGACUGGCUAAAUCCAGAUGCUAAAGGCUACAUCUGUUAAGCCAAGGUUCGACCGUUUUGUAGCAUUGCUUUGGUAUACUGUGUGCUUACUUUUGGUGCCCCUUAGAAAUGUAAUUUCUUUACUUUAUGUACUUUACUUUUUAUUUGCUUUUCCUCCUGGUCGUGCUCCAGUGUUCACGCUAAUCGUAUAUAUGGUUGAAUAGAAUCAAUGGCUAUCGUACACUCUUAUCGUAGUGUUUGAUGACCUUUCACCCCUGGGUCAUCAUUCACAUAAAACAAACUCCUGUCAUUUUUUUUUUUUUUUUUUUUUGUGGUGAGGGUAAAAUUCCAACUUGGGGAGUUGCCGGAAAAAGAUAACGGGGAGCAUCUGGAUUGGGCUUAUCUCUGCUGUCUAUCUUCUCACGCGAGUUUGUCAAAGGAAUGAAUAAAGCGAACGUAAGCGAAUGUAUUUUCAUUGCUUUCCCUCCCGGACUUCUCCCAAGUUUUUAUCCGUGACACAGCCCGGAUGUGAGCGGCAGGGGCUUGAUCCGUUUCGAGUUUUCAUUCCUUCAACUUCUGGCCUUAAUUACUGGAUUAGCCGUCUGACAUUUACACCAUCGCCUGACAUUUUAGCUGCAUUUCUUGAUAGGCGCAUAAUUGACAGUUCAUGUCCCGAUAUGAAACAUUUUCCUGUGAUCUGAUCUGUAAGUGAACCAGUGUUGGUGUGCACGGCUCAAUUGGCUCAUUUAGCCAGGGUAACUGGUGGGAACAAAAACCCACACACACACAAACACACCCCGCCCUUCAGAACCAGAAUAACCCACCCCUGACGGGACUGUGAAACAUGAUUUUCCUUUAAUUUCCUUUCCUUCACAAAUCUCUUUCUCUUUCUUUAUCAAAUGUUUCAUCAAAUAGUUUCUGAAUGAUCCAAAAUUAUUUAAUAAGUUGGACAACUUUUAAGUACACUACGUUCAGAGAAAAUCUAGUUCAUCCAGUGUACUCAACUAGCGUACUCAUUAGUAGGCAAGUAAGUUUAUUCAGACAUGGUCUUUCUCCUAAACUGGAUUAAAAACAAGACCAGCGUGCCGUGCGGCAUUCUUGGACCAGUGCUUGGUCAUCUCUGGUACAGAUCGGGUGUUAGUUAAUGUGUAGUCCUUACGGCUCCAUGAAUGUUUUCUCUUAUUACACCUCGGCCAUUCCACAACAGGUCUACGUCACUGGUUCCCAACCUCGGUCCUGGGGGACCAGUGUGCGUGUGCUCUUUUCAUUCCAACCACAGUUGCAGUCAUAGAAUUUUUAACAAGCUGUUACUUCUCAUGUUUAGAGGGAUUAUUUACCCUCUGAAGCCACAUUAUGUCAGAAAUAACUGUGCAUGCUGUGUAGGACAAAGUACCCUUUCUGACUAAUCAAAUUAAAGAUCGAGGUGACUCAAUGUUCUCCUGGGUUGCAGAGCAACAUGUGUUUAAGUCAAUAAUUUUUUCCUUAAACUUAUUUAGAGUGUAUGUUUGUGUCAGUGUCCACAAAUUAACCAAUAGGGCGCUGAAGGAUAUGUUUCCAUGUGUUAGCCUCGGCAUGCAAGGUGCUGCCAGAUAGGGGUUGAUGGCCUUCUGUUGAACAUCCCUUCUUACCAGGAAACAUAAGUAACUAUCAAAUGUGUUCCCAUUUGCAAAUAUUGCAUAAGGUGAGAGUGUUUUCACAAAAGCUGGAUGGUAGCCAGAGGAAUACUGGUGAGGUGGUAAAAACAGAGAGAGAUUGGAAUGUGUUUUCCUAAAAUGUUGUGUAUCUGUACUUGGAAACCACCCUUGUGUGAACUGGCUGCAUCCAACUUUGGUUUUUUUCUUUUUUCCUGGAGUUAAUUUUCAAAGUAUAACUGACUUCUCCCGAAGAAGCCUAACAUUCCAGUAGUGUAAAUGGCAAUGCUGGGAUUGUAACCUCUAGGGCAGAGGAUGGGCAACAAGGGCCUUAUCCGUUUAUGGUUUCCAUGCCAACUUCUGGCCUCAAUUACUUAAUCAACCCUAACAUUUACGUCUUCUACAUUUCCUGAUAAGCGCAUGAAUGACAGUCACAGACUGUUCUUGUGUCCCUAUAUGAAGCGAUUUACUGUGAUCUAAUCUACAAGUGAACCCGUGUUGGUGUUGUCGCCCAAUUAGCUCAUUUAACCAGGGUACUUGGUGGAAACAAAAAAAACCUACAUACACACCGGUACUCCUUGACCGGAAUUGGCCAUUCCUGGCCUGGGGGAAUAGUGCUUGUCUGUAUUCUACGAUGUCCAAAGCUGAAUCAUUUUGUGCUUCUCUGGAAAAAUUCACAUUUGGCCAACGCCUUGUAUACUCUUAGUGAUAUGGAAGUCAUAGCUGAGUCAUAUGACAAGAAGGCAAACAUAACCCAGCCCUGUCCCUGGAGAUCUACUAUCCUGCAGGUUUUCAUUUCAGCCCUGAUUUGAUUGAUAGGUCUGAUUCCACUGAUUACCAGCUCAAGAUCUCUCGCUGUUGAAUGAGGUGUGGCUUUGAUAAAGCUGGAGUGAAAACCUACAGGACGGUACAUCUCCAGGAACAUGGUUGAGCAGCCCUGAUAUAACCCCUUGAAUUUAAAAUUGGCAUAAAAAGGUACCCCCAGUACAACAAAACUAGUGUUUUCCCAUAAAAAGUUAAAUACAAAAACCACUCCUCCAGUGUAAAAGUGCAGAAGAAACAAAAAAUGUAAUUAAUACCUCUUACCCAAGCAUUAAACUGAUGCAGUCCCAAAAAUGGAAAACAGGCCCGAAACUUUAAAAUAGAAUGGCUGAAAAUAUAAAGCCAUUUCGGAACAGAACCCAAACUGGGACAUUUGCAAUUCCUGCUACCCUGUGUGUACCUAGGGAUGUACCCAGAAAUCUUUUUUGUGUAGGCAUUUGUAUAUACUGUAAAAUGCCGUGUUAAAAGACAAAACAUCAAGCUUCUUUUUAACGUUUUGAUCUCUUUGACCCCCUCAAAGUAUGUGAAAUCAUUCCCCUUCAUUUCAUUGUUACUAAUGAAACUGACUUUUGAAAUGAGCUGCCAACCGAAAAUUUCAUUUCUCUCUCUUGCUUUCUUUAGACAAUUGUGUCAUAAAAUAAUUUAUUAUACAAGCAUGUCAACAUUAGAUUUUUUAAAAUCUCCUGAACACAUUACAGAGGGUAAGCACAAACCUCUGCUUGAAGUUAAGUAACCUUAAUUACCAUUAAGCUAAAUCUUAAAAAAAAGGGAAAAUAAACAAACGCUUUAGUACUUCUCCGUGUUCACGGCGCUGAGAUGUGGCCUAACCCCCUAACCUCACCUUGCAUCUCUCCAGAUCAGGAAAGGUGAAAGUUCACCAGCCCCACCUACGCAUCUAGCGUCAGUUGCAGGGAAGAUUUCGUACCGUUUCGUAAGCCCCGCCCCCCCCCCCUCCUUGUCACAUGGUAUCGCGUGUCACCGCUGGGGAGCUAAGCCAAUGGGGCCGGGUGCUGGCGAAGGCGUCCGAGAGGAGCGGAGGCAGCUGUCCUGCCGAGAUACGGUACGAACGCUCAGGCUCCCGACCGAAAUAAACCCGGCCCGGCCCGCUCAGAGAGAGAGAGAGAGAGAGAGAGAGAGAGAGCGGGCUAAACAUAGCCAGCCAGCAUUUGCAUGCUGGAGCGCUGGCUUAAUAUGGCAGCUGCAUCUCGCCGACACGCCGAGCGUUUGCUGUUAAAACCGGUUUGAACCGCCACUGUGGCCAGCCCCAAAGACUCCCUGGAAAUCCACACUGAUUCCACAAAGAAUUGCUCAUUUAUGACAUUUCCCCACAAGCUAAUGUGCAAAAUAUCAAAAUAAAUACCUACAUUCCCUAGGAUGUUGCUUUCUUUAAUAAUAUCUUGUGGACACGGGUAACUUGAAUCCUUGCUUGUAAAUACUGGCUUGUAUUGGUCUCCAUGCGUCCUGGUGUCAUUCUGGUCGAAAUACAUAAUGCCUUGUGUAAUAGUUCUUAUAAAUGCAUUUAAAAAUGUUUUGGAAUGUA